Molecule: non-coding RNA, 706 nt
Organism: Zonotrichia albicollis (white-throated sparrow)
Lineage: Eukaryota; Metazoa; Chordata; Aves; Passeriformes; Passerellidae
Source: RefSeq, a predicted model, not a curated record
GGCCCCGACACAGCGAGGGACAGGAGAGGAGAACAGAACACAAGAGAGAAGCGCCCUUGUGCUCCGCCUCGGCUUUCAUCUGCGGAGCGUGUAGCUGCAAGUGCGGCGUGUUUACAAAUGCAGGCAUUGCAAGAUCCCUUGAACUGUGUCCUAGUACAAAAGAGGCUUUGAAACGAGAAACACGUUGUCAUGGCAUGUUCCAGGCCAGCAGCACCAGACUGAACCAGAUAAUUGCUGUUUCUGCUUCAGCGUGGAAAAAGCAGCAGGUGUGUUUCUGCCCCAGGCACAUCACCCCGUGGAUGUUAUGUUACAGUUAUAUCACAGCCAGGGACUUUGGAAAUGGCCAAACAGGAAAGCUCUGCCUGGGAAGGGUUUUUCACCACAUGUGCCCUGUUAAAACUGCAAAUGGAGCAGGCUGGGUAAUACCACACAGCUGAUGGAAACAGGAAUGCCUGGAAAUAAAAGGCAGCUCCCCCAGCUCCUCUCGUGCUUGCUGCUGUCCUUGGGCUGCUGGAGCUGCCUGGGCUCUGUCUUGGGCUGGGUGCCCCUGGCACCCAACUCCUUGCACCCACACAGGGGCAGGCCUGGCUGAGCAGUACCCAGGAGGGGCUCCCACGUUGUUGUUUUUUGAAUGCCAGCUCAGCCCAAGGAUGAUGGCCACGGUCUGUGGCUGCCAGAGCUGUUGCACCAGAGGAAUAAUUAGUUU